UGAGAAUCUGCCUAAAGGACCGGGACAACCACUGGAAACGGUGGCUAAUACCGGAUGUGCCUGAAAGUGAAAGGGGAAACUCGCCUUUAGAGGAGCUCGCGUCUGAUUAGCUAGUUGGUAGGGUAAGAGCCUACCAAGGCGACAAUCAGUAGCUGGUCUGAGAGGAUGAUCAGCCACACUGGGACUGAGACACGGCCCAGACUCCUACGGGAGGCAGCAGUGGGGAAUUUUCCGCAAUGGGCGAAAGCCUGACGGAGCAAGACCGUGUGAGGGAGGAAGGCUCUUGGGUCGUAAACCUCUUUUGUCAGGGAAGAACACAAUGACGGUACCUGACGAAUCAGCCUCGGCUAACUCCGUGCCAGCAGCCGCGGUAAUACGGAGGAGGCAAGCGUUGUCCGGAAUUAUUGGGCGUAAAGCGUCCGUAGGUGGCUCUCUCAAGUCCGCGGUCAAAGACCGGGGCUCAACCCUGGAGAGGCCGUGGAAACUGGUGAGCUAGAGUGCGGUAGGGGCAGAGGGAAUUCCCAGUGUAGCGGUGAAAUGCGUAGAGAUUGGGAAGAACACCGGUGGCGAAAGCGCUCUGUUGGGCCGCAACUGACACUAAUGGACGAAGCUAGGGGAGCGAAUGGGAUUAGAUACCCCAGUAGUCCUAGCCGUA
This 655-nucleotide ribosomal RNA is filed under the name uncultured cyanobacterium. Its description in RNAcentral is "bacterial SSU rRNA". It matches the Rfam family "Bacterial small subunit ribosomal RNA", at positions 118 to 804 of the family's 1533-position model. Lineage: Bacteria; Bacillati; Cyanobacteriota. The record is from RNAcentral.